UACGGAGGAUCCAAGCGUUAUCCGGAUUCACUGGGUUUAAAGGGUGCGUAGGUGGAAUGACAAGUCAGUGGUGAAAACCUGCAGCUUAACUGUAGAACUGCCAUUGAUACUGUUGUUCUUGAGUACAUUUGAUGUGGGCGGAAUGUGUCGUGUAGCGGUGAAAUGCUUAGAUAUGACACAGAACACCAAUUGCGAAGGCAGCUCACAAAACUGUAACUGACACUGAGGCACGAAAGCGUGGGGAUCAAACAGG
This 253-nucleotide ribosomal RNA is filed under the name uncultured bacterium. RNAcentral describes it as "partial 16S ribosomal RNA". It matches the Rfam family "Bacterial small subunit ribosomal RNA", at positions 524 to 776 of the family's 1533-position model. The record is from RNAcentral.